AUUGAACGCUGGCGGCAUGCCUUACACAUGCAAGUCGAACGGCAGCAUAGGAGCUUGCUCCUGAUGGCGAGUGGCGAACGGGUGAGUAAUAUAUCGGAACGUGCCCUAGAGUGGGGGAUAACUAGUCGAAAGACUAGCUAAUACCGCACACGAUCUACGGAUGAAAGUGGGGGAUCGCAAGACCUCAUGCUCCUGGAGCGGCCGAUAUCUGAUUAGCUAGUUGGUGGGGUAAAAGCCUACCAAGGCAACGAUCAGUAGCUGGUCUGAGAGGACGACCAGCCACACUGGGACUGAGACACGGCCCAGACUCCUACGGGAGGCAGCAGUGGGGAAUUUUGGACAAUGGGGGUAACCCUGAUCCAGCAAUGCCGCGUGAGUGAAGAAGGCCUUCGGGUUGUAAAGCUCUUUUGUCAGGGAAGAAACGGUAGUAGCGAAUAACUACUACUAAUGACGGUACCUGAAGAAUAAGCACCGGCUAACUACGUGCCAGCCGCCGCUGUAA
This 502-nucleotide ribosomal RNA is filed under the name uncultured bacterium. RNAcentral describes it as "partial 16S ribosomal RNA". It matches the Rfam family "Bacterial small subunit ribosomal RNA", at positions 30 to 523 of the family's 1533-position model. The record is from RNAcentral.